Non-coding RNA from Erythranthe guttata (spotted monkey flower), 141 nucleotides. The record is from RefSeq and is a predicted model, not a curated record. Lineage: Eukaryota; Viridiplantae; Streptophyta; Magnoliopsida; Lamiales; Phrymaceae.
CACUGAAAAAACUUGAAGGUUGAAGAAGUUGAUUGUAUCUUGGCAUGCAUCCUACUGUGUUAAGAAGAUACUUCAGCAGGCUAAAUAUAAGACACUGAUACUAUUUGAAUGGCAUGUUUGAGAUAUACAAGUUGAUGGAAA